This 748-nucleotide ribosomal RNA is filed under the name uncultured Lachnospiraceae bacterium. Its description in RNAcentral is "bacterial SSU rRNA". It matches the Rfam family "Bacterial small subunit ribosomal RNA", at positions 28 to 776 of the family's 1533-position model. The record is from RNAcentral. Lineage: Bacteria; Bacillati; Bacillota; Clostridia; Lachnospirales; Lachnospiraceae.
GAUGAACGCUGGCGGCGUGCUUAACACAUGCAAGUCGAACGAGAAAUGAUAUUACGAUCUCUUCGGAGUGACGAUUUUAUUUCGAGUGGCGGACGGGUGAGUAACGCGUGAGCAACCUGCCCUGUACCGGGGGAUACCAGUUGGAAACGACUGUUAAUACCGCAUAAGCGCACGAUAAGACAUCUUGUUGUGUGAAAAACUCCGGUGGUAUAGGAUGGGCUCGCGUAUGAUUAGCCAGUUGGCGGGGUAAAGGCCCACCAAAGCGACGAUCAUUAGCCGACCUGAGAGGGCGACCGGCCACAUUGGGACUGAGACACGGCCCAAACUCCUACGGGAGGCAGCAGUGGGGAAUAUUGCACAAUGGGCGAAAGCCUGAUGCAGCGACGCCGCGUGAGUGAGGAAGUAUUUCGGUAUGUAAAGCUCUAUCAGCAGGGAAGAAAAUGACGGUACCUGACUAAGAAGCCCCGGCUAACUACGUGCCAGCAGCCGCGGUAAUACGUAGGGGGCAAGCGUUAUCCGGAUUUACUGGGUGUAAAGGGAGCGCAGACGGCGAAGCAAGUCUGAAGUGAAAUGCAUGGGCUCAACCCAUGAAUUGCUUUGGAAACUGUUUGGCUUGAGUGUCGGAGGGGUAAGCGGAAUUCCUAGUGUAGCGGUGAAAUGCGUAGAUAUUAGGAGGAACACCGGAGGCGAAGGCGGCUUACUGGACGACAACUGACGUUGAGGCUCGAAGGCGUGGGGAGCAAACAGG